GCUCCCAACAGGAAGACUUGAAGACAGAGUGGUAAGACAAGCCUGCUAAAGGUUCCCUACGCUGGUGCAGGAAUUUCCUGGAAACAAUUUCUUUUCAGUACCCUCGAGGUGGCCUGCUGCAGAACUCAAUCACCGUGCUGGAUUCAAGGAAGUAAAGGAUGACGUCCUCCUGCUUUUUUUUCCCGAGGGAUUUCCUCUGCUUUACCUCCCUGUGAGCCCCAUUGUACACCAUAUACUCAUGCUUAGCCAAAUGAAGCUCACCAAUGUGGUUUCAGGAGGGCGAAAGACAGGCUGUUUAUCUGAAAAACAUCUUCUAAGCAAAAAGACAGAGGAAUUUUGGUUUCUCCAUCCCCAGGGCAAUAAGAAAAAAGAGGUUUUGUACCCAUAAAAUGGUUUUGUUCCCAUAAAACUGAGCAAAAGCUUCGGUCUUGCCUGGACAAGAGAGAAUUCCUACUCCUUGAGUCUCAGUUCCUCCUGGAGUUUCCCUGGCCUGUUCUUCAAGGCCAACUGCAAAAUCCUUCUCCUCGCCUGGCCCAGGAGACUGAGGCUGAACUGAACCUCCCAUUCAGUGCCUCUCUCUCUUUGGAAAUCUCUGCGAUACUUCAGCCAAAGCAGCAUUUGUCUCACUAACGGCGUGCCUGGACCGGAGCCGCAUUAAUGCGCUGCAGCUUUCAGUAGAUGCGGGAGUGGUGUGGUUGUUGUCUGUUUUCCGGGCAAAAGGGGAUUCAAGAUUGUUAUCCCCCAAGUCUCAAGGGUUCCCACAGCGUUUUAAAUGUGGGGUGGCUGGCAGCCUUGCAGACAAAUAAACAAAUUUUAAUCUUCCUUGAAAGGCCAAACUUCCCAGCUUGUGUUGCUUUCUUCUUUGUUAUCUGUUUCUGUCUAUGUUUAAUAGCAAAGGGAAAACAAAGAGAUGGAGUAAACUGGUGAUUUGGAGAUUAGGAUGUUUUUAUUGUCUUCAGCUUAGGCCAGCUGAAGACACCGAUGCUGGAGCAGGAAAAACCUUUAAGGAAUACCCUCGGAUUUGCAAAACAAAUGUGUCAAGCGAAAUCCAGAUUUUUUUUUUGCUCAGGGUCUGACAUCGUGAUGUGUAGGGAACGGCGAUCGGAAGAUCUCGCGAUGGCACGGAAAGAGGAAGGAAGAGGAAGGAUAUGACGUAGAGAUAGCAGUGUGCUUGUAGGUAUAUAAGCAAAUACAUGCGUACAAUAAACGCCAUUUGCAGCAUCCUCA
Long non-coding RNA from Dromaius novaehollandiae (emu), 1227 nucleotides. RefSeq lists it as uncharacterized. The record is from RefSeq and is a predicted model, not a curated record. The transcript is spliced from 2 exons. Lineage: Eukaryota; Metazoa; Chordata; Aves; Casuariiformes; Dromaiidae.